Molecule: non-coding RNA, 45 nt
Organism: Schistosoma mattheei
Lineage: Eukaryota; Metazoa; Platyhelminthes; Trematoda; Strigeidida; Schistosomatidae
Source: Rfam
AUCUAACUGACGAGCCUCAAAUAGAACGAAACGCGAGUCCUAGAC